RNA transcript from Acromyrmex echinatior (Panamanian leafcutter ant), 1473 nucleotides. It is a transcript of the gene named glycerol-3-phosphate dehydrogenase [NAD(+)], cytoplasmic, with no coding region annotated. The record is from RefSeq and is a predicted model, not a curated record. Lineage: Eukaryota; Metazoa; Arthropoda; Insecta; Hymenoptera; Formicidae.
UUUUUUGUGCUAAGGAUAAUUAAUUAGAAAUUAAUUGCGUACGAGAAAUCGUUUCUCUCCCAUUUUCUCCUAUAUAUUCUCUCCCAUCUUGUACUGUUUUAUUGAGCUGUGUGUGCACCCUAACAUUUGUUGGAGUGCUUCAGCUAGAAAUGAAAGCUGUACCUCUUCUUCAGGGGCUCGGCGAUCGCGAAGAUCGUCGGGGCAAAUGUUAUGAAGUACAACAACAUAUUUGAGACUCGAGUGACAAUGUAUGUAUACGAGGAAAUUAUCAACAACGAAAAAUUGACCAAUAUAAUCAAUACUAUCCACGAGAAUGUUAAAUAUCUACCUGGUCACAAAAUUCCGGAAAAUGUGGUUGCCGUGCCCGACGUUGUGGAGGCAGCGAAAGAUGCCGACAUCCUCAUCUUCGUUUUGCCACAUCAGUUUAUUCGCACAUUAUGUUCAACGCUGUUGGAUAACAUAAAACCAACUGUAGUUGGCCUUUCUCUCAUUAAGGGUUUUGGUCGAGGUGAAGGAAACAGUAUUGAGUUAAUCUCCAAAAUCAUCGAAAAGCAUUUGAAAAUACAAUGCAACGUUUUAAUGGGCGCCAACUUGGCCAAUGAAGUCGCCGAGGAGAAAUUCUGUGAAACCACAAUCGGGUGCAAGGACAAAAGAUUGGCACCGGUACUGAGGGACCUUAUUCAAACUCCAAACUUUCGAGUAGUUGUCGUGGAGGAUUGCGAGACUGUGGAAGUAUGUGGAGCUCUAAAGAAUAUUGUAGCGUGUGCAGCUGGUUUCGUAGACGGCCUCGGAUUAGGCGACAACACGAAAGCUGCGGUGAUUCGAUUAGGACUGAUGGAGAUGGUCAAGUUUGUCGACACUUUUUACAGUGGUUCUAAGCUUUCUACAUUCUUCGAGAGCUGCGGCAUUGCGGAUUUGAUUACUACUUGUUACGGAGGAAGAAAUCGCAGAGUCUGUGAACAAUUUGUCAAGACUGGCAAGACUAUCAAAGCAUUGGAAGAUGAACUGCUGUCCGGGCAGAAACUACAAGGGCCAGCAACGGCAGACGAAGUCCACGAUAUGUUGAAGGCGCGUAACUUGACGGACAAGUUCCCGCUGUUUACUGCAGUGCAUCGUAUUUGUACUGGUCAACUGCGCCCGGCGGAUCUGAUCGACCAGAUUCGGAGUCACCCUGAGCAUGUGUUCGCUCCAAAGACUCUCUUUAUGUACUGAGUCCUCUUCCUUCUUAUUAAAUUCUCGAGUACAGAUUAUACUUGCCUCUAUACUACACAAUUCUUACUUCUUGUACACGUGAAUAAUUACACAAAAUAUAUGAAAAAGAAUGAGAUUGGAAGAGGGAAAUACAUAGUUUAUGCAAAAUACAUGAAUUUAACACGAGGUGUAGAAACAGCCUAUGAUAUCAAGAAGGAAAUGAUUUAGCCACCAAAGGCUUCUACAUAAUUUAAACGUCCCCAUUGUAAUCUUAUUAUUGUA